UGCCCAGCAACUCCUAUCGCUACCUCCUCGCGGUACUGGCCGGGGUACGAGUAACCUUGGGGAAGAUCGGGUAACCAACCCCCGGUGCGAACUUUGGUCGUAUGCUGACAGGGACGG
Aedes aegypti (yellow fever mosquito) is the source of this 117-nucleotide non-coding RNA. Lineage: Eukaryota; Metazoa; Arthropoda; Insecta; Diptera; Culicidae. The record is from Rfam.